CCUACGUGAGGCUGCAGUAGGGAAUAUUGCACAAUGGGGGAAACCCUGAAGCAGCAACGCCGCGUGGAGGAUGAAGGGUCUCGGAUUGUAAACUCCUUUUGUUAGAGAAGAAAAUGACAGACUCUAACGAAUAAGCACAAGCUAACUCCGAGCCAGCAGCAGCGGUAAUACGGAGGGUGCAAGCGUUACUCGGAAUCACAAGGAGUAAAGAGAGCGUGGGCGGGAUAGCAAGUCAGAUGUGAAAUCCUAGGGCUUAACCAUAGAACUGCAUUUGAAACUGUUAUUCUAGAGUAUUGGAGAGGGAAGUGGAAUUCUUGGUGUAGGAGUAAAAUCCGUAGAGAUCGAGAGGAAUACUCAUGGCGAAGGCGACCUGCUAGAACAUAACUGACGCUGAUGCACGAAAGCGUGGGGAGCGAACGGGAUUAGAUACCCGUGUAGUC
Molecule: ribosomal RNA, 440 nt
Filed under: uncultured bacterium
Lineage: Bacteria
Description: partial 16S ribosomal RNA
Rfam family: Bacterial small subunit ribosomal RNA
Source: RNAcentral